CAAUAGCGUAUAUUAAAGUUGUUGCAGUUAAACAGCUCGUAGCUGAACUGAUGAAGUUUGUUCCUCAAGCUCUAAAGAGUUCGAAUGAACGUAAGCUUCAACCUGUUGAUUGGAAAUGGUAAAUUUGAGUGUUUCAAGCAGGCUGACUGCCUUGAAUACUCCAGCAUGGAAUAAUCGAAUGACAUUCGAAGUUUUUGUUGGUUGACGCGGAGAUGUAUUGAUUGAUAGGAACAGCUGGGGGUAUUCGUAUUCAACAGUCAGAGGUGAAAUUCUUAGAUUUGUUGAAGACGAACUAAUGCGAAAGCAUUUACCAAGAAUGUUUCCAUUA
RNAcentral lists this ribosomal RNA (328 nucleotides) under uncultured eukaryote. Its description in RNAcentral is "partial 18S ribosomal RNA". It matches the Rfam family "Eukaryotic small subunit ribosomal RNA", at positions 592 to 975 of the family's 1831-position model. The record is from RNAcentral.